Dama dama (fallow deer) is the source of this 1169-nucleotide long non-coding RNA. RefSeq lists it as uncharacterized. Lineage: Eukaryota; Metazoa; Chordata; Mammalia; Artiodactyla; Cervidae. The record is from RefSeq and is a predicted model, not a curated record. The transcript is spliced from 2 exons.
UCCUGGUCCUGCCCUACUUAGCAGAAGCUGGUCCUAGAGCUUUGGGGAGGUCACAACCCCGGAAGGCGAGUUCUGAUGUCUCUUUCUCUUAAAGAGGAAUGUCACUCAGAUGCUGGGCCAGGGUGACAGUGCAGCUGGCCUCAGGGCUCACAGCCCAUUGCCAGGUAGGACAGAGGUCCUAAGCAGAAUGCAGGACAGCGGGUGAUGUCAAAGGUGAACUGUCCUUCUGAGCCCUGGGGAAUGGAGCUGGCAGUGCAGUAAUCAGCUAUGGAUGUGAGAGUUGGACCAUAAAGAAGGCUGAGUGCUGAAGAAUUGAUGCUUUUGAACUGUGGUGUUGGAGAAGACUCCUGAGAGUCCCUUGGACAACAGGGAGAUCAAACCAGUCCAUCCUAGAGGAAAUCAACCCUGGAUAUUCAUUGAAAGGACUGAUGCUGAGGCUGAAACUCCAAUACUUUGGCCAUCUGAUGCAAACAACUGACUCACUGGAAAAGACCCUAAUGCUGGGGAAGAUUGAGGGCAAGAGGAGAAGGGGGUGACAGAGGAUAAAAUGGUUGGAUGCCAUCACUGACUGAAUGGACAUGAGUUUGAGCACACUCUGAGAGAUAGUGAGUGACAGAGAAGCCUGGCUUCUGCUCUGCUGGACUGCUCUGCUGCACUUCAUGAGGUCGCAAAGAGUCAGACAAGACUUAACAACUGAACAAGAACAAAGAACAUCAAGGAAAUCAAUGAUUUAGUCCUGCAAAGUUUCAGAAAAACAAAUCAGCACAAACAUAGCAAGCCAGUAUGGCCUUGGUGCCUGGGAAGGGUGUCUUAUCAUUGAAGAAGCAUUUCAUCUUUAUUUUUAAGAUAGUCAUCUUUUUUUGUUUUUUUUUUCCGGCUGCCCAGCAUGUGGGAUCUUAGUUCCCUGACCAGGGAUCGAAACCGCGCCCCAUGCAGUGGAAGCCCACAGUCUUAACCACUAGACUGUCAGGGAAGUCCCUUUUCAUGGACAUUCUUUACUUCUGGUCAAUAAUUACAGCAGAUCUACUGUGUAUGUUUGAUAGGCCACAAAUAGGCUGUUCUAAUUAGCAUCAAAUUCAAGUUAACUCAUGUAUAAGCCAGAAUGACUUCCCCACAUCUCAAUAAAUGAAUAUUCCUUUUGUCAGUGUCCCCACAUCAGGACCACAUCA